This is a long non-coding RNA of Cryptomeria japonica (Japanese cedar), 956 nucleotides long. RefSeq lists it as uncharacterized. The record is from RefSeq and is a predicted model, not a curated record. The transcript has 3 exons. NCBI's taxonomy places the organism in Eukaryota, Viridiplantae, Streptophyta, Pinopsida, Cupressales, Cupressaceae.
UAGGCAGACUGGAUAUUUGGAAUUUUGGAGUGGAUGAAUUGACUGAAGCUUUGCAUUAGUUAGGUAUCCGAGGACACAAACCUUCAACAGAUCGAUAGAAGGGUUGGACGAAACCUUAAUUCUUCAUCUUGCAAGUGGGUUCGUGACGGAAUCUACAUCAGUGCCAACUUUGUGAAGUCUUCUUCGAGGACUAAUUUGCAGCUGAGGGAGGAAGACAUUUCAGUCUUUCUUAUUUGUGCUUCAUUGGUGGCCAAAGGCCAACUCAUGCUACGGUUUGGACUGGAGAUCAUUAGAGACAACUUUGGUGAUAAGAAUCUUCAACAACUUGGCAGCAUAAGAAGCUGAUUACAUCUCAGAAUUCUGAGUUUAUUAUCAGACAUUUUUAGUCAUAUAUUGGGUUUGCCAUGGAGAUCGACCAGACCUAUCAAACCCCACAUUUUUGUUCAUAACUUUUGAUUGAAGACUUAGAAUUUUGUGGGUAUUGGUGCAUUGGAUUUGUAUUUCCGAGACAAUCAUUUCCAUCACUCAUUUGGCACUGAAGACUGCUGAUAUUAUUUUAUAUUUCACUCAGAUCAUAACAGGGGCGAUUUUGAUAGAGGCUUCAUUUUGGCACAUAGGAGGCACAAAGACAACCGAUAUUGCUUGUUUCUUCAUCUGUACUUCUAGGCGCUUCACUCAGUUUUUAGAUGUGCUUCUCAGGUUUGCUUGGGUCCAGUCAGUCAUGAAUUUCAAUAUAGCAAGCCUCCAUCUAAAUGCAACAAUUGCAAUUUUUGCAUGUCUAGAAAUCAUUCGGCGUGGGAUAUGGAAUUUCUUCAGGUUGGAAAAUGAGCACCUGAACAAUGUUGGGAAAUAUAGAGCAUUUAAAUCAGUGCCCCUUCCUUUCCAACAUGUUGAUGAUGAAAAUGAUGAAUGACUAUUUUCAUGGGAUUAGAUGGGGAGAGCUCACAAGUUAUUAC